GUGCUUGCUUCCGCAGCACAUAUACUAAAAUUGGAAUAAUAUAGAGAAGAUUAGCAUGACCCCUGCACAAGGAAUCCCAACGUGAUGGCAGAGAAUUAACUAUAGAGA
RNAcentral lists this small nuclear RNA (108 nucleotides) under Erinaceus europaeus (western European hedgehog). Lineage: Eukaryota; Metazoa; Chordata; Mammalia; Eulipotyphla; Erinaceidae. The record is from RNAcentral.